CUCAGAGAAAUUUGAGCUAAUACCGGAUAAUGUCUUCGGACCAAAGAUUUAUCGCCUUUAGAUGGGCCCGCGUAAGAUUAGCUAGUUGGUGGGGUAAAGGCCUACCAAGGCGACGAUCUUUAGCUGGUCUGAGAGGAUGAUCAGCCACACUGGGACUGAGACACGGCCCAGACUCCUACGGGAGGCAGCAGUGGGGAAUAUUGGACAAUGGGCGAAAGCCUGAUCCAGCAAUGCCGCGUGAGUGAUGAAGGCCUUAGGGUUGUAAAGCUCUUUUACCAGGGAUGAUAAUGACAGUACCUGGAGAAUAAGCUCCGGCUAACUCCGUGCCAGCAGCCGCGGUAAUACGGAGGGAGCUAGCGUUGUUCGGAAUUACUGGGCGUAAAGCGCACGUAGGCGGCUUUUUAAGUCAGGGGUGAAAUCCCGGGGCUCAACCCCGGAACUGCCCUUGAAACUGGGAAGCUAGAAUCUUGGAGAGGCGAGUGGAAUUCCGAGUGUAGAGGUGAAAUUCGUAGAUAUUCGGAAGAACACCAGUGGCGAAGGCGACUCGCUG
RNAcentral lists this ribosomal RNA (550 nucleotides) under Erythrobacter neustonensis. RNAcentral describes it as "bacterial SSU rRNA". It matches the Rfam family "Bacterial small subunit ribosomal RNA", at positions 147 to 731 of the family's 1533-position model. Lineage: Bacteria; Pseudomonadati; Pseudomonadota; Alphaproteobacteria; Sphingomonadales; Erythrobacteraceae. The record is from RNAcentral.